GGAGGCGGCCGGGGAGUCGCUUCGCCGCGUUUCGCGGCGGAGAGGAACCUCCGAACUCCACAGGGCGCGGCGCCCGCCGAAAGGCGGGACGCUCGGGGCGAAAGGCCCGGGCGAUGGAAAGUGCCACAGAAACAAACCGCCGGUCCCGGCUUUGCCGGGGCUGGCAAGGGUGAAAAGGCGAGGCAAGAGCUCACCGCUUCUGCCGUGAGGCAGAGGGUCCAGGCAAACCCCGCCGGGAGCAAGGCAGUAGGGCGGUUCGCGCGGCCCGCGCAACCUCGGGUGAUAGACGAGGCGGCCGCCCGGUGGCCGCAUCAGAGAAAUGAUUCCCUCGCUUCGUCCGCGCAAGCGGCGGGGCUAGACAGAAUUCGGGGUACAGGCCGCCUCCUCUG
RNAcentral lists this RNase P RNA (389 nucleotides) under Elusimicrobiota bacterium. Its description in RNAcentral is "Elusimicrobia bacterium RNase P RNA component class A". It matches the Rfam family "Bacterial RNase P class A". Rfam says of the family: Ribonuclease P (RNase P) is a ubiquitous endoribonuclease, found in archaea, bacteria and eukarya as well as chloroplasts and mitochondria. Its best characterised activity is the generation of mature 5'-ends of tRNAs by cleaving the 5'-leader elements of precursor-tRNAs. Lineage: Bacteria; Pseudomonadati; Elusimicrobiota. The record is from RNAcentral.